AUUUUGGACAAUGGGGGAAACCCUGAUCCAGCCAUCGCGCGUGUAUGAUGAAGGCCUUCGGGUUGUAAAGUACUUUUGGCAGAGAAGAAAAGGUAUCGCCUCAUACGGGAUACUGCUGACGGUAUCUGUAGAAUAAGAACCGGCUAACUACGUGCCACCAGCCGCGGUAGUCCUUAGUGUGCAAGCGUUAAUGGGAAUUACUGGGCGUAAAGGGUGCGUAGGCGGUGCGGAAUAAAAGAUGUGAAGGCCAAAGGCUCAGCCUUGGAACUGCAUUUUUAACUGACGAGCUAGAGUAAGUCAGAGGGGGGUAGAAUUCCACGUGUAGCAGUAAAAUGCGUAGAUAUGUAGAGGAAGACCGAUGGCGAAGGCAGACCCCUGGGAUAAUACUGACGCUCAGACACGAGAGCGUGAGGAGCAAACAGG
RNAcentral lists this ribosomal RNA (423 nucleotides) under uncultured bacterium. RNAcentral describes it as "partial 16S ribosomal RNA". It matches the Rfam family "Bacterial small subunit ribosomal RNA", at positions 361 to 776 of the family's 1533-position model. The record is from RNAcentral.